UUGGAAAACCACUAGCCACAGAGGCUGGUGAGCAAAAAAUGUCAAGCCCUGCAUAUAUAUCAUAAAUAUUUUUACACACACACACACACA
Long non-coding RNA from Sinocyclocheilus anshuiensis, 90 nucleotides. RefSeq lists it as uncharacterized. The record is from RefSeq and is a predicted model, not a curated record. NCBI's taxonomy places the organism in Eukaryota, Metazoa, Chordata, Actinopteri, Cypriniformes, Cyprinidae. The transcript has 3 exons.